CAAGGCACAAGAGAAAAGAGGUCUACGUCAGGGGAGGGCCCUGGGCAGAAACCCCUCCCAAGCCAAACAACAGUGCUAGGCUGUGGGGGCCACCUGAGCUGUGUCACUCAGAGCAGGGUAUUUACCUCUCUGGGCCUAAGUUUCCACAUGCACAAAAUAGAGAGCUUGAAUUCAAAGGAGAGGUGAAGACCCACUAGUGUGGUCUGUGUCUUAGACACAUAAGCCCUUCAUUUGCAGAAGGCAGGCAGGAUUUUUGAUACUUUCCUGGAAGAAAGGGCUCACGCUAGAGUGACUGAAUCUGGGCCUCAGUUUCUUCUAAAAAGUAACCACACCCCUGCCUCCAGGCUUCCUCCAGGAGGCUGACACACUUCUGGCCCAUUCUUCAGGACCUUUCAGUGUCACCUGACUGUUCCUUAGCAGCACCCCACCUUACAGAUGAGGAAACUGGGGCUCCUAGAGGCAAAGUCACUUCGUCCAAAGUCACAUGCUGGGUGUUUCUCCUCCACGGAGGGGCAGCUGGGGCCCCCCCGAGAGAGAGCCGGGAAUUGGAGAGCUCCUCCUUCUCCCCUGAGGGGACGGCCUUCUCCCUGUGCUGGAGCCCAGGGCACAGACAGCAAGAAAGGCCUGGGGGUGCAGGCAAUGGUUCCAGGGCUCGGCUGGCCAGAACAAGACCCUGAGUUUGGUCCAAGAGUCUCAUCACCGAAACCCUCUGUGCCUAGAAGGGUGUCACUGGGCAUCUGACCAUCGCCUCCCUGCCAGGGACCAUAGCCAGAGUUCACUUCUUCCACAGCCACCAGCUGCCUCCUUCCUGGCACCCGUGCCCUCUUGCUUUUCUUAGCUCAGUGGUGUCCAGAGCAAGGGUCCUGAGCUGGGGGCCUGGGUUCCCCUCAGCUCCACCCCUGAUCUCCCCUAGGCCACUGGCCAGCCCCCUCUCUGAGCCUCAGUCUGCCAUCUGUCCAGAGCAGGCUGACAUGUGAUGGAUGGUCACGCGGAGCCAGGGGUGGGAGAAGAGCUGCAGAGAGGGGCGGAGGCAGGCCAGAGGGCAGCAGACGCCCCCAAUCUUCAUGACUGAGGGAGCCAGGCAGCCCAGGCUCGAAUCUGAACUCAGCCGUAUCCUGCCUGGGUGGCCUUGGGUCAGUGACUUUUCCUCCCUGAGCUGAGCCUCGGUUUCCUCGUCUGUAAAGUGGAGGUGAUGAGAGCCCCUCCUUUGUAGUUGCUGUGAGAACAAAGUGGGGAUAUGCACAGGCCCAACACCCAGAAAGGGCUCAGUCCACGUCCGCUGUGAUUACCAGCAGGGCUAGAGCUGCCCCCACACCCCGGCGAUCGCCCAGGCCGGUGGGCGGAGGCAGCUGCCAUCCUCUUCAUCAGCCGCCCAGGCCCCCCAGGCCCCGCAGGCCUCCCCUUGGGCCUGGGCUGGUCUGAAGCAAGGUCAAAGGGCAGCCCUGCCCUUCCCCCACGUGGGAUGGCCCCAGGAGGGACUGCCUAGAGGUUGAGGCCCAGAGAAGGGGAGCCACAGCAGGAGGUCACACAGCCAGUGCCGAGCCAGGACCUGAAUCCAGGCUUCCGGGCCCCUUCUGGGUGUCCCAAAGCGCAUGCCUUAAAAGGGAAAGGGAAAGAAGGAGGCUGAACAGUCCGUCUUGGGCGGAAGGAGUCCAGGGGACAGACUGGUCUGAAAGCAGAGAAGGCAGGGGUGUCAUCCCUGGUACUUGUGAAGAAAGGCCAGUGGCCUGGGAGCCAGAGCCCCCAGGACGGGGCAUAGGGCCGGGGUUUACAAGCCGGCCUGAGGACCCCGGGGAAGAUGGCCAUGUCACUGGGCCAGUUGUGGAAGCCGGAGGUGGUGGCUGCGGUUUCUCUUCCUGUGCAGAGAUGUAGAGGCCCCAACUGGUGGCCGAAUGCCAGCACCUUCUCAGGGCAGCCUGGAGCUGCCCACCUGCCCGCCAGAGUAGUCCAGUCACUACGGAGCACCAGCGAUGGGCUUGGCUCUAUUGUAAAAGCUGAUGAGGAAACCGAGGCCCACAGGUGCCAUGGCAAUCUGAAGUCGCUGAGAUCGGACAGCUGAGAAGGCCCCACAGCCCAGCCUGCCCCCCCAGUAAAGCCAAGAUCACCUGCCCUCCCCAGCAGUGUCUCUCAGGCGUCCUCCCCACUUCUGCUCCUCAUCCGCAUCCCCACACAUACCCUCCCCAACCAGAAGGGGUGGAGGUGAGGGGAGCAGGGGACUACGAGAGGGGCUAGGAGGCUAACAUUUAUUGAGCACACACUACAUGUAGGACAACCACUCAAAAUAUGUCAGGUGACCCCACAUCAACCCUGAGGGUGUGGCCCCUUUCCAGAUGGCCAAGCUGAGGUUCAGAGAGGCUCUGCGACUUGCCCAAACACACACAGCUGCACAAGCCAGUUACUACAGCUCAGGACAGCCUCCGGACAAAGGCCAGAUUCUUGGUUCCCCACCCCCCACCUGAACCCACAGAACUGAAGUUGGAGACCUGCCCCAAGCACUCCCACCUACAGCCCUGCACCCUCCAAGCAGGCAGAUGCCAGGGUCAGGGGGUGCCUCCUGGGAGCACUUGGGAGAAGAGGGGAACGCUUCUCCCAGGGACCCCUAUAUCUGCUGGGGACUCCUGGGCAGGAGGGUCUCAGGGCUACCCCAUGGCGCAUGUGAGGAAGUCCAGCC
This is a long non-coding RNA of Manis javanica (Malayan pangolin), 2671 nucleotides long. RefSeq lists it as uncharacterized. The record is from RefSeq and is a predicted model, not a curated record. Lineage: Eukaryota; Metazoa; Chordata; Mammalia; Pholidota; Manidae.